UGAUUAGGCUUAGGCCAAACCUACGCACCACGCGACUGCGAAGUGGGUGCAUCAAUACAAAACACACAUUUAACAACUUAAAACUUAAAUACUU
Molecule: long non-coding RNA, 94 nt
Organism: Aricia agestis (brown argus)
Lineage: Eukaryota; Metazoa; Arthropoda; Insecta; Lepidoptera; Lycaenidae
Exons: 3
Source: RefSeq, a predicted model, not a curated record